This 2397-nucleotide ribosomal RNA is filed under the name Triticum aestivum (bread wheat). RNAcentral describes it as "partial small subunit ribosomal RNA". The record is from RNAcentral. Lineage: Eukaryota; Viridiplantae; Streptophyta; Magnoliopsida; Poales; Poaceae.
AUGGGCAGCGGGCGGAAGCGGCCGCGGGGGGCCGGGGAGCUGGGGCGGGUGGCGGAGAUCGUGAUGGUGCUGGCGGCUGCCGGGGAGGCCCGGGGCGGCAGGGCGCCCACAGCGGCGGAGCGCGCGCUCGUGGCGGAGGCGCGGUGGCGGCUCGCGGCGUCGGUGGCGGCCGUCGAGAUGCGGCCCAAGGAGCUGUACCCGAGGGAGGCCGUGCGCGCGCUCGUCGAGGACCUCGGGCUCGGCCGCGCCAGGGAUCCCGCCGCCAUGGGCUACCGCCCCCGCAGGGCCUCGAUCGCCGAGAGGGUCGUUCUUACCAAGCGCAAGAUGGAACAAGUCAACGAAUCUCUAGUACGUCCAACCAUUAAUAUUCCCCAGACAACAACCUCAAGUGCAAAUGCUAUAUUCCAGGAUGGAGUUUCCAAGUCCACCGCUGAAUUAACCAGGAACCUGUCAGCUGCUGGGUCAUUCCCUGCCUCAACCCCAACCCCAAUAACUAUGUCUUCUUCUAUCUUGAAGCAAUCCCGACCAAAUGAAACACCAGCAGGAGUAUCUUCUUCCAAAUCAGCUAACCUUCCUUCAAUUGUUUCUCUGCCACCGGUUGGUUCUGCGAAUAUUGAAGUGGAAAAAGCUGUUAAUUGUCCUAAUUUCAGAAAAAGUGGAGCAACUAUUGGCCAGACAAAUAAAUCAGCUCAUUUUACUGCUACUAGGUCCAGCCAAAGCAGAGUCCAGAGUUCUAGUGCAGGGAAAUCUCAUGAAAAGAAGGCACCUUCGGCUCAACCUGUCAACAGGAACAUUGCUAUAGGAGAUCAUGUUCCACCGGGAGCAGCAGCAUUUGUUCAACAGGAACCCUGCUUCUCCAAUCACAAUGCGAUAGCGAAAAAUGUUCAACUGGUUCUGCACCAACCUGCCAACCAUCCUAGCUGGACGGUACCAUCAACUGAGUAUAUGCAUGCUCGGCUGGACUGUCAAAUAUGUAAAACAUUUAUCACUGAUGUGGAGAGUUUGCUCGUUUGUGAUGCUUGCGAGAGGGGUGUACACUUAAAAUGUCUAAAGCAGGAUGGGAAUGAAGGCCUGUCAAUUGUAGAUUGGUAUUGUCCAACCUGUGUAACGUAUAGUAAGGGCAAACCUCUGCCUCCAAAAUAUGGCAAGGUUACAAGAACAAUUGUUGCAUCAAAGGCUAGAGGUGUAACUUCGCAGAGAGCACCAGGAAACCCACGCACAAAAGAUAGUGAAGAAGUGGCAGGAAAUGGAAGUUUUAUCAAGCAUAACUCCAGUGAACCUGGUAGGUCUGUACGUAACAGUGACAUGUUGGCCUUAGACACUGCUAGUUCAAAAGCACAAUUGGCCUCUGCUUCUGAAUAUCAAAAGGAAAACACUAAACAUACUGACACUCUGUCCAAACAAAAGGAAGGACAUGGCCCACCUUCAAGAAGCUUAGUUACAAAGACCAUGGAAUCCUCCAGUCAAAUUGAAAGUAGUGGAGGAUCAACAUAUAGUGCUGCUGGAAAUCUGUCGGAACAGUCUCAUAAGCAAAGAGAGACCAUUGAGUUACUUCCAUGUGCUGUGAAUUCAGUAAAUGAUUCCACACUACAGACUACUGCAAUUUUUUACGGAGGAAAUUCUGAACAUUCCUUCAUUGACUCAUCUGAAAUGUGUGGAAUAGAAGGAAACUCUGACCAACUUCUGAACAAGGACGAACAAACAACCAGCAGCGGUAGAACACCAGCAGAUCAAACACAUCAAGAAGAUGUAGCCGCUGAUAUUGGAAUAGGGUGUCCUCAGGAUGAUGAAACAACAGAAGUUAAUGCCAUGUCAGAACAUAACAAUGUGUAUCUGGUGACAUCAAACAUGGACUUAUGUGCUAAGCAUGAAGUUAUGGCAGGUCCAAAGAGUGAAGCUUUAGGUUACAGCUCAGAUCUUGGUGAUGUGGAUUGGGUUGGCGAUGCCCUGAAAGUUGUGGGCAACAUAACUUAUUAUAACUCCUGUAUUGUUGAUGGUAUAACAUACAAUCUCCAAGAUCAUAUUUUGAUUGGUUCCAAAGAUGGCAAGUCUGCUCCAUCCAAGCUGCAGUCACUGUGGGAAGAGCAUGGCUCCCAAUCUAAGCUGGCUAUGGUUAAUACAUAUUUCUUUGCUUCGGACAUUCCAGAAUCGGCUACCAAACCAUGUUCUCCUGAAGAGAAUGAGGUAUAUGCUUCAAAUGAUCAAAGAACAGUAAUGAUUUCUUCAAUUUGUGGCCCAUGUGAUGUGUUGCAUGUUGACAAGUUUAGAGAAGAGACUAAUAGAAGAAAUCAGGUGGUCAGUUCAGAUAGUGAGCUACAUCCAAUUUUCUUUGGCAGGUGGAAGUAUGAUGAAUGCACAGGCAGUUUUGUUAGUGUUGAUAGUUCGAUGGUUUUCUGA